This 492-nucleotide ribosomal RNA is filed under the name uncultured bacterium. Its description in RNAcentral is "partial 16S ribosomal RNA". It matches the Rfam family "Bacterial small subunit ribosomal RNA", at positions 29 to 507 of the family's 1533-position model. The record is from RNAcentral.
AGUGAACGCUGGCGGUAGGCCUAACACAUGCAAGUCGAACGGCAGCACAGUAAGAGCUUGCUCUUACGGGUGGCGAGUGGCGGACGGGUGAGGAAUACAUCGGAAUCUACUUUUUCGUGGGGGAUAACGUAGGGAAACUUACGCUAAUACCGCAUACGACCUACGGGUGAAAGCAGGGGAUCUUCGGACCUUGCGCGAUUGAAUGAGCCGAUGUCGGAUUAGCUAGUUGGCGGGGUAAAGGCCCACCAAGGCGACGAUCCGUAGCUGGUCUGAGAGGAUGAUCGGACACACUGGAACGGAGACACGGUCCAGACUCCUACGGGAGGCAGCAGUGGGGAAUAUUGGACAAUGGGCGCAAGCCUGAUCCAGCCAUACCGCGUGGGUGAAGAAGGCCUUCGGGUUGUAAAGCCCUUUUGUUGGGAAAGAAAAGCAGCAGGUUAAUACCCCGCUGUUCUGACGGUACCCAAAGAAUAAGCACCGGCUAACUUCGUG